CGUAAGAAAAUCUUUGGCCCGGGGUACAUUCAAAUUCCCCGAAGUUGCAAUUUAAAGCGGCGUGCUCAGUGCUGGCAGAAGUUAGUGAGGGAUGCAAUUGACAGCAUUGCACAGUAAUUUUUAAAGAUGUUAAAAUGCUUCAUCUGUUUGUCAGAGAGUCGCCCUUCAGCCUUAUGGCAUCCGUCAAUUUCAUAUAAGACGUGGCAACUGUGUACUGGUGAAGAACUCCCCAUGUACAAAGUUAAGGUCUGUUUGGGGAAUGAGAGGUGUGUGUCAGGGAUGCUUGCUGGUGAACACUUUCCAUUUUCAAAAUCUCUAAAUAGUUUUUCUUUCUGCUGCUGUUCCUUGUUCAGUGCGGCAACCAGGAGAGUGUGUUACCAGGUACUGCUGCCACAUUUAUGUUUGAAGCAUACUGACUGUAGAAAGCUUGUACCUGAUGCCAUGUUUUACCACUUUCAUGAUAGGUUGUUACCUCAGGAGUUGGUAUUAUAUGGUGUAGCUGGGGAUUGGUGAUAAAGUAAAACAUCAUAUUUAAGUUGAAAUCUCUGGUAUAUCCAUCAAACAUUGCAUUUAGCAGUUGGGAGCUCAAAAGCAAUUAGACAGAAUAUACACGUAGAUAAUGCUGUCAACAUCCUGUGAGUUUCAAAUGUGUAUAAUUUGGCUUGAGACUGGAAUAUAAGCAACAAGUAAUUGUUAGGUGCUGUUCAGAGAUGGAGUGAAACUGUGGAAGUAGUAAUGGUGGUCCACAUACUGGAAGAGCUGAUGGGUGAGGCAAGGCUCGGUGACACAGUGCGAUACAGCAGAUUUCCUGUGAUGACAGCAAGAAACUGCUGUGUAGGCCAUCUGGGGGCAAGCCUCGCCCACUCCACAUACGGGCGUAUCUGAAGACACAACUAACAGCAACAGAUGUGGUUCAUGGAGACACUGUGUGAGACAAAUGCUGAAUUGGACUAUAAAAUAUCGGAAUCAGCAUAAGAAAUGAUGAAGGCGAUGAGUAGAUGAGAUGACUCACUCUCGGUGAACCACAACGUUUUUGCUGUUUUCAUCCGUUGGAGAAUCAGCGGAUUUUAUACUGAGAACAAAACUUGCUCGGAUAGUCAAGGUUCCAUGCAAUCUCACAGGUCACCAAGUGGCAGUGCCAUUUGCCACAUCUUCCUGGCGUGAGAAGAGUUCCUUCUGGAUGUGGAGCUGGCAUUGCUCUAUCGACACAAGGGGCAGCCCUCAGCAUUACUAAGUUUUCCCAGUCAAGAAUUUACACACUGUGGCUGGUCACUGUUGACUGAAACUCUUGUCUUGGUCACUCAUGUGUUUCGUUUGAAGAAUCAAGUGUGUUUGAAAGCAGGUAAAAAUUGGCCUGAGAAGACUUUGCAGAACAGUUACAGUGUUAAACUGGCAGCUGUGUUUGAGGUAAUGAUGCAACCAAUCCUACUGAGGCACGAAAUGUAGGGAACACAGAUGGAGGAAUGUAAUUUCACAUCCUAUCUUAGCAUGGGACCAUCUAUCUUUAGAAGAUUCAUGAGAAGUGCUUGGAGUUUCUAAUAUAAAUUAGUUUUCUGCUGCCCAACAGAUAUUCAAUGAAUAUUUUUGUUGCAUUUGUUACUGUCAUUGCUGUACAAUGUUGUUGUUACAGUUUCAUUGGGACAUUUUAGUCUGUAAAUUAAAUUCUGGCUGCAUUCUUUGCAAAUGGGCAGGCCUGAAGAGUUUUGAAUAUGCAUGCUGAAAACUCGCGGAAUGUUCAGAAUUCAUUCUGAAAUAUUCAAGGAGACUGAUUAGUAUUUAUCCAAUUCUGGUUCCUUCUUUGAAUAGUUUCCACUGCUGGUGCACACAUUGUAAACAAUACGUAAAUACUUAAAGAUGCUGUAUGAAGACAGUUUUCACGUGAAUACUUCUAAAUGACAUUUCUUUGCUGUAAUCUGAAGUUCAGUGAUGUGUGUGGAACAGGAUAGCAAAACAGGAUGUCUUACACACCUUGAAUACAUUCUCCAAUGUAGUGUUCGCUAUUCCAUCCAAAUGAGAAGUUAAAGAAAUCUUUCACAUUAGCUUGAUACAAUUCCAAUACUGCUGCUACUGCCAAAACAAAGGAUUGCACAGUAAUCAAUGUGCAUCAACAGGACAGAAUGCUGGGGACGAGUUUUCUUUCCCAGGAAAGUUUUAAUGCCGGCAGAGGGAGAGGGGUGGGGUGUGGUGGCAUCGUCUGCUAAUAUCGGAAGUUACCAUCUGUUUCACCGCACUUGUUUGCAUUCUAGAAGUGAAUUUCAGACAAUGGAAAAUACAGGAUGUAAUGUAAUGGAGUGUGGCUUCAACUGCCAGAGACUGUGUGUGUGUGUGUGUGUGUGUGUGUGUGUGUGUGUGUGUGUGUGUGUGUGUGUGUGUGUGUGUGGCCAAAAUCCUAUUUUGUGACAGUCUUUUUGUUGUGCCUGUUUGCGACUCAGCAUCUCUGCUAUAUGGAUUGUAGAAGUGAAGUGAAUUUCCGACUUUCAUACUUCUGAGAUUGUAUUGUAUUAAAAAUACAUUGCUGACAAAGUUUUCAUGAUAGAGUUAGCUUUAAUGAAGGAGAAAUAUAGAAUUUUUUGACAUUUUUGGUGCUUAAAUAAGAUCAGAAAUGGAGACUGGAGUCUGGCUCAGUGUACUGCCUUACAAAUGUUGCUUGUGUACGUUUUCAAUUUCAUUCACAGCUCAAAAUUUUCAGCAGCUUUGUAGUAUAUGUUUCUUAAAAUCAAAUUCAUUCAUGGGCUGCAGAAUUGGGCUAGUUUACUGGACUUAACAGGCUUCAGUAAAUUAAUCUGUUAUCUUUGGGAGUUUGUUCUUGGCUUAACGAACACAGGUAAGAAGGCAUCAGUAAUGUCAUAGGAUUGUGCUUCAUUGAUGAAGGUAUUGAAAUCUGCUCAUUCCUGUUAAAAGCCAGUAUUGGACUUCUGGAGGCAUCUUAAUCUUCCGAAAUUGCACUGAAAUGCAGUAAGAUCUGCAGUGAAUAGGCAAAGAACGAUCCUUUAUUGUAUGAUUAUAUGAUAGUGGAACAAACACUGGUAGCAGUUACUUCUGUUAAAUACCUGGGAGUAUGCGUGCGGAACGAUCUGAAGUGAAAUGAUCAUAUAAAAUUAAUUGUUGGUAAGGCGGUUGCCAGGUUGAGGUUCAUUGGGAGAGUCCUUAGAAAAUGUAGUCCAUCAACAAAGGAGGUGGCUUACAAAACACUCGUUCGACCUAUACUUGAGUAUUGCUCAUCAGUGUGGGAUCCGUUCCACAUUGGGUUGACGGAGGAAAUAGAGAAGAUCCAAAGAAGAGCGGCGCUUUUCGUCACAGGGUUAUUUGGUAACCCUGACAGCUAUACGGAGAUGUUUAACAAACUCAAGUGGCAGACUCUGCAAGAGAGGCACUCUGCAUCGCAGUUUCGAGAGGGUGCGUUUCUUGGUGAGGUAUUGAAUACAUUGCUUCCCUUUACUUACACCUCCUGAGGAGAUCACAAAUGUAAAAUUAGAGAGAUAUUAGAGUGCGCACAGAGGCUUUCCAGCAGUCGUUCUUCCCGUGAACCAUACGCGACUGGAACAGGAAAGGGAGGUAAUGACACUGACGUGUAAAGUGCCCUCCACCACACACUGUUGGGUGGCUUGCAGAGUAUAAAUGUAGAUGUCAAUAAAAUUCUUCUGGGUUAGAGACCGCAUUGUCAUUUAUAAAAU
This is a long non-coding RNA of Schistocerca gregaria, 3674 nucleotides long. RefSeq lists it as uncharacterized. Lineage: Eukaryota; Metazoa; Arthropoda; Insecta; Orthoptera; Acrididae. The transcript has 5 exons. The record is from RefSeq and is a predicted model, not a curated record.